GUCCCAGCUGUAAACGAUGCAAACUCGGUGAUGCAUUGGCUUAUGGCCAUUGCAGUGCCGCAGGGAAGCCGUUAAGUUUGCCGCCUGGGAAGUACGGUCGCAAGACUGAAACUUAAAGGAAUUGGCGGGGAGCACCACAAGGGGUGAAGCCUGCGGUUCAAUUGGAGUCAACGCCAGGAAUCUUACCUGGGGAGACAGCAGAAUGAAGGUCAAGCUGAAGACUUUACCAGACAAGCUGAGAGGAGGUGCAUGGCCGUCGU
RNAcentral lists this ribosomal RNA (260 nucleotides) under uncultured bacterium. RNAcentral describes it as "partial 16S ribosomal RNA". It matches the Rfam family "Archaeal small subunit ribosomal RNA", at positions 744 to 1004 of the family's 1478-position model. The record is from RNAcentral.